GCGGGAUAGCUCAGUUGGUUAGAGCAGCGGAAUCAUAAUCCGCGUGUCGGGGGUUCAAGUCCCUCUCCCG
This 70-nucleotide transfer RNA is filed under the name mouse gut metagenome. It matches the Rfam family "tRNA". From Rfam's summary of the family: Transfer RNA (tRNA) molecules are approximately 80 nucleotides in length. Their secondary structure includes four short double-helical elements and three loops (D, anti-codon, and T loops). Further hydrogen bonds mediate the characteristic L-shaped molecular structure. tRNAs have two regions of fundamental functional importance: the anti-codon, which is responsible for specific mRNA codon recognition, and the 3' end, to which the tRNAs corresponding amino acid is attached (by aminoacyl-tRNA synthetases). tRNAs cope with the degeneracy of the genetic code in two manners: having more than one tRNA (with a specific anti-codon) for a particular amino acid; and 'wobble' base-pairing, i.e. permitting non-standard base-pairing at the 3rd anti-codon position. The record is from RNAcentral. RNAcentral also lists the same sequence under 1 other name.